RNA transcript from Lethenteron reissneri (Far Eastern brook lamprey), 14781 nucleotides. It is a transcript of the gene named double-stranded RNA-specific editase 1-like, with no coding region annotated. The record is from RefSeq and is a predicted model, not a curated record. Lineage: Eukaryota; Metazoa; Chordata; Hyperoartia; Petromyzontiformes; Petromyzontidae.
CACAACGCUACAACAGCAUCAUCAUCAUCAGCAGCAGAUCCCCACAACGCUACAACAGCAGCAGCAUCAUCAUCAUCAGCAGCAGAUCCCCACAACGCUACAACAGCAGCAGCAUCAUCAUCAUCAGCAGCAGCAUCAGCAUCAGCAGCAGCCCCCCGGCGUGGUCCCUCCUGGCCCCGAGUUCUCGGGCAGUGGCGUCGCCCCCCCCGGCGCUGCCGCGCUGCAGGCGCCGGGCGCGCGACGCAAGCUGAAGCGUAGGAGGAGGCGCCGCUCGCGACAAAAAGAUCGCGCUCUCGCCCUGUUGCCCGCGAGGGGAGCUCCCCCCGCCUUCUGGCACGCGAGGUCGCACGAGCAGCAGCGACAGGAGGAGGACAACAUGAGUUCCGGCAGCGUGAAGGAAAACUGCCUCCUGUCUGACAGCGACGACUCCCAAGAGGCGGCCACGGCUCCCGUGCAGGGUCUCUCCCCCUCUGCGUCGGGGCCCGAAGUGGGUGGUCUGCGGGGCCCGGCUGGUGGGGGCCUCAAGCGGGCGCUGGAGGAGGAGAACGCGGGACGGGCUGCUCCGCGCUUCCGCCCUAAGAGGAGGCGCCGUGCAGGGGGCCUCUCCCUGAUGGCCCUGCCCAUGCCCUUUCCUCUGCACGCCGCAUUCGUUCCGCCACCCCCCCAUAACCAACACACUCACCACCUCGCACCCACCAUCACCACCAGCAGCAGCUACGGGGCAACACCGCUGCAGCCACCACCACCACCACAUCAUCCACUCGCACCACCAACGCUGCUUCCGUCACAACCACCCCCGUCGCUGCUGCUGCUGCUGCCGCCUCCGCCGCCGCCGCCCAACAAGAACGCGCUGAUGCAGCUCAACGAGUUGCGGCCGGGCCUGCAGUACCGCGUGGUGUCGCAGACGGGGCCCGUGCACGCGCCGCGCUUCACGCUCGCCGUGGACGUGAACGGCGACACCUUCGUGGGCGCGGGCCCCACGAAGCGCGAGGCGAAGGCUCGUGCGGCCGAGCGCGCGCUGCGCUCCUUCGUGCAGUUCCCCGACGCGUGGGAGGCGCACCGCGCCAUGGGCCGAGCCGCCUCUGCGCUGCCCGCCAAUGCUGACUUUGCCCGCGAUGAGCAGGGGGAGCACGAGAUGCGAUUCGAUGUCGCGGACUUCGCGUCUGAGCCAGGGGUCGCCGUCGGCGGCGGCGGUGGUUGCGGUGUUGGUGACCUUGCGGACGUGGGUGGAAGUGGCGGUGACUGCGUUGCUGGCGGUGUUGGUGACGGCAUUAGUGGCGGUAACGAUGGCGUUGUUGGUGAUAGCGGCAGUGUUCAUGGCGGUAUUGGCAGUACGAGUGGUGGUUUUGGUGUUGAUGGUGAUUUCAAUAACGGCGGUGGUAGUGGCGGCGGUGUUGCCGAUUUCCCAGGAAGAGGAAUCGCAGCGGCCGUGGCGGUUGUGUUAUCCACCGCCACCACCUGCUCUACCAUCUCGACACAACCCAUGGGUAGCAGCAGCAGCAGCAGUAGUCAAAUACGAUCGCCCAGCACUACGGGCCGCGCGGGUCUACAUGGACACGACACGGGUUUUCAGAACCAUGGACAACUCCAGGUUGACCAGGGACAGGGGUCACCCUUGACGCGUGGCUCACGCAUGGAGCCCUCGCAGGGAAGCCCGGCCCCUCCCGAACCCUCCCCACUACGGCACCCCACUCUCACGCAGCUCACGCCGAGACCAUCAGAAUGGGCGCCUCGGACACUUGCGUGCCGGGCGCUGAAACACAACAACAACCGCGGUAGCCACAACAACUACAACAACAACAACAACAACACCACAAUCGACUCCAGCGUGCACUCUAGAACUUUAAAGGGCGAGUGCUGCUACUACAGCUGGAAUGACUACAGAUACAAUAUCAGCAGCAACAACAGCAGCAGCGGCUACAGCAACAGCACUCAAGCAGCGGUCACAAAGAGAGCUCCUCUCGCGUUGGAAGCGGAUGCGUCCGUCCCGCAUGCGGUCGCAUGGGCUCAGCGGACGCAUUCCGGUGGCGGGGCUGCUCCAAGCGAGGAUCUGCAGGCCCUGGAGAGCUACCAAGCCCCCGGGUGGCCUCCACUGGGCGCGGUGGCCCUUUUCGACGCCUUCAGCCAGGUGCGCAACAAUCCCGUGUGGGCCCUCGGCGCGCUGCAUCCCGACGCGGCCUUCGGAGACAUCGCGGGACCCCCCGGAGUGCCCGGGGCGGCUGGGCCGACGACGGCCGAGGGCGUCUCUCCUCGUGUGGUGGUGCAGGUGACCGUGGGCGGAUGCUCCUUCAGGGGAGCGGCGCGGAGCAAGAGGGUGGCUCGGAGCCGCGCGGCCCAGGCCGCCCUGAGGGCGCUCUACGGGAUAGGGGCCGCGUUUAGGCCGGCCCGGCCACCGACCGUGGGGCCUCCGCAGGGCCUGGGCGAGAACCACGCGGUGCUCUCGCAGGGACUCGCGGACCGCGUGGCGCGCCUCGUGCUCGAUAAGUUUGCGGAGCUGGCGGGAGGACGACGAGGAGGAGGAGAUGGAGGACGACGAGGAGGAGGAGAUGGAGGAGACGGAGGAGCCGCGUCGCGUGGCGGGGUGGCCGCCGCGCUCCUUGAGCGGCGCAAGGUGCUGGCCGGGAUGGUGUUGACCCGCGGCGACGGGGGUCCCGCGAGCGAGGCGCGCGUCGUCUGCCUGGCCACGGGCACCAAGUGCCUACACGGGGAGUUCAUGAGCGUGGCGGGCCUGGCGCUCAACGACUGCCACGCCGAGGUGGUGUGCCGCCGCGCCCUGCUGCGCUACCUCUACUCCCAGCUGCAGCUGCUCAGCAGCCCCGUGGCCAGCGAGCGCGAUAGCUCGGUGGUGGAGGCGCGUGCAGGCGGCGGGGGCUACCGCCUGCGGCCCGGCUGGAGGCUGCAUCUCUACGUGAGCACGGCGCCGUGCGGGGACGCCCGGCUCUUCUCCACGCAGGAGAAGGAGGUCGGCGCGGACCGGCACCCGAGGCGGCGUGCUCGGGGCCAGCUGCGCACGAAGCUGGAGUGCGGCGAGGGCACGGUGCCGGCCCGCCGCUGCCAGGAGCCACAGACGUGGGAUGGCGUCCUCCAGGGAGAACCCCUCCUCGCCAUGGCCUGCAGCGACAAGAUCGCUCGAUGGAACGUGCUGGGCGUGCAGGGCGCGCUGCUCAGCCGGCUUCUGGAGCCCAUCUACCUGCACGGCCUGGUGCUGGGCAGCCUCUACCGCCCCCAGCACCUGUGGCGAGCGGUGUGCACGCGCGUGCGUGGCGUCACGCACCUUCCCGGCCCCUACCGCCUCAACGCGCCGCGCCUCGCCUGCAGCAGCGAUCCCGAUGUGAGGCGGCCGGGCAAAGCGCCCGUGUGCUGCCUCAACUGGAGCGCGGGGGAGCCGGGUCUGGAAGCGGUGAGCGGAGCCACGGGGAAGGCGGACGGUGGGCAGCCUUCCCGGCUCUGCAAGCAAGCCCUGUUCGCUCGCUGGGCGCAGCUGCACCCCAAGCUCAGCGUCCGCGUGGCCCCUUCAGCCUGCCGUGAGCACCCGGAGGCCACCCCACCGGGCACCUACGCCGAGGCGAAGCAAGCUGCGCGCGACUACCAGGCGGCCAAGCAGCAGCUGUUCCGCGGGCUGCGCAGAGCCGGCCUGGGUGACUGGGUGAAGAAGCCCUUGGAGCAAGACCAGUUCUGCCUGCAGAUGCCCUGAGGGCGGGCGGCGCGCACGUGUUUGUUAUUCUGCUACUUUCUUUCGGUGCGAGAAAGUAGCAGCAGCAACAACAACAACAGCGGUAACAGCAACAGCAACGACAACAACAACAACACACGCAGGGGGUGUGUGUGUGUGUGUCUGAUGAGCGCUCUGUUCCAGGUUAUUGGAAAUGACACUUUGUGACCUCUUGUUCAUGUUCCCUUGCCAAGUAAGAGGGAUGUUUCGUUCUUUCGAGCUCUCUCUCUCUGCGCGCGCGGCUGUAUCACGAGGUGAUCGCGGCGCUAUAAAUAAUUCCGCUAUGAAUGCCAGGGCAGGGUUUUUUUUUAGAGAGAGACCCGUGGCAAGACUUUAAAUUGGCCCGCGACAUGUCACCUUGAUUGCACGUUUGGCUUAGACCCGACAACGUUAAUUAACGCGUGGAAGGUUUAUUUUUUAUUUUAUGUAAUUCUCAGAGCCCGGGAUUUGUUAACUAACCAUCUUGCCGCGGCUGCAGGGCCUCGGACUCGCGGUGCCGCGGUGCGGAGUCGCGACUGGCUAGCUUUUAAUGCGGCUUUAAAAAAAAAAACAAGCCCCGUUCACGCAUGAGUGGUGCAUUCCGAUUGGCCUAGCCCGAAAAAGCAGAGAGAAACGACGCGGCCCCGCAGUGGUGACGGCUGCCCCCCCCAUGUAGCCAAGACGCACGGAACACUGCCACCCCUCCCCCCCCCCCACACACACACAGUAUUCUACAUGUGCACGCGUAAUGAUGAUUCUUCUUGCUCCAAAAGCAAACGAAUUAAUUUGGUGGUAGUGCUGCUGCGUUGGCAGUGGUGCAAGAGCGCGUAUACUAUUAAUAAUACAACAAUACAUUAUCACAAUCACGCAUGCAAGGGUGGAUUCAUUACAGUUCAAGUUGCAUCCAACGUGGUUCCAUUGGGGUAACGGUCGGAAUGAAUGACAGGCUGGAUCGAACAGGGCCCGUUGAGUUGGUUGUGAUGAAGCCAAGAGACCAGGAUAGAGUCUGGCUCACCAACUCGAAAAAGUUAAAAUAAAUAAAAAAAACUAAAUCGGUACAGAAGCAACUGCAUCUAUCGCACGAGGUGGAAUAGAAAAUGUUCGAAAAAAUAUAAUUCCCUGCAACGUAAAUCUGCUGGGGAAGAUUUGCCUCCAGACGGAACACGGCACAAAGUACAACACGAAGCUACAGAGACAUUUAACAUAUAGAGGGGUGACUAGAGCACUUAUAUGCAAUUGCAAGUGAAGUGAUCAUAACGAAUCGACAAAUUAUCCUCUCAACUUGUACAUUUAGGUGGGGGGAGUAAUCUCGGACUUGUUUUGGAGCGAUGGAUGGAGGCAGUGGGGGGGGCGACACAGAGAGCACGGGGCGAAGCGACGGAACAAAGGAACGAGCGAGACAUCCGAUAGAAAUCAAAUGGUACAAACCGUUGUAAAAUAUUCGAUUCUUAAUUGACCCCCGAAUUGUGGCUAUUCCUUGAAUAGCGUAGAGGUUGAGCUCAUCACGUGCCUAAAGCCGAUGCUUUAAUUUAAAACAGCAUACAACCCUGGUGCCUAUUCAUCAUCAUUAUCAUCAUCCAGCAAUACACUGCUGGAUGAAGGCUUCCUCACGCCUUUGGAGCUGCCGUGACGUAUUGGCCCUCUAUCGGCAGGUUGCAUGCCUGGUGGAGUAAAGCGUGGGUUCUCCCACCUCGUACCACGACGCUUGGUCAACGUGAUAGUCGACAAUAUAUUAUCUAGAGCUCCCUCUAGCGGAGGCCAUUCCACCAGCAGUGGCGCGGGCAGGCAAUUGCAGGGUUGCGCCUUAAGCUGUAGCUGCGGCAAAUCGUAAGUUAGCCAUCGUAAUCCGCCCAAGGUUACCAAGUCGAGUGCCCGAUUCUUAAUACGGGUUCUAUUUUAAGGUGGGUCACAGAGAGAGAGAGAGAGAUGUGCUGAGUAAUAUCGGUGUGACGUCUAAAACAUGUCGAACAAAUUUAGAAUCCAUCUCGCGAACAAUUCCCCGCCGUCAUUCAUUCGCCACUUGCGCAGUAACGAGUAGGGCGUGUGCAGAGGAAGAAGACCCAGGCAAUUGCUAACAUAUGCCUAACACCGGGCAGAUUUUUUUUUAAUUAAACAAACUUCAUGUAAUGUUUCAAACCAGGUGGCUAAUUGGAUACAAUUUGCGCACCGUAAUCUCUGCGCUACGACGUGAUUUGCCUUGAGGUAAUGUGUUAAUAAUGAGCUUCAAUUGACAACUGAACGCCCAGUCUCAGCCCCCCCCCCCCGUCUCAUCGUUUGUCAGCUCCUCAUUUAGUAAAGAGGCCGCGUGCCGUGCCUCCACCCUCACGUCGCUCCAGGCUUCCCAACUGCCACGGCACUUCGGUGCCAAGGGUGACGAACUCAAAGCACAUGGCACAGUUCGCCAUCGCGUCCCCAGCUAUUGAACAACACAAUAACAAACAAAAAACAUCAACCGCAAGUCCGCGCGGAUACAAAUUCGCAAAUAUUCUCCCGAAAAUAAACUCGCCGCUCGGCGGAUUAAGGCAAAUCCACGACACUUUUUUCGUCCUUGCUUUGUGAACGGACCUCCAUUGGCAUCACGGCUGUCGCUGCGUCUCGAUAGUCGGUUUGUGCCCCCUCGAUUAGUCCGAGACGGACGAAUAGUACCUUUCUUCAUUACUGACAACUUGCAGCUCAGCACACGGCAGAUGCCUGCGCAGCGUGACUCACGACCUUCUCUUGAUACCAAGAUCCAGGAUGGUCACGUCUAUGCGCCGCUUCUCGGUGGCAGCCCCAACAGUCUGGAACGAUAUCCCUCUGCACAUUCGCAGCAUCACCUCAAUCGCCUCCUUCAAGAGACACUUAAAAACUCACCUCUACAAUCAUGCUUUCGAGCGACUCUGAGCUUGGCUCCGCGUCUCUGAGUUGCGGCCACUACAGUCUGCAAAUUUGCGCGCGUUACAAAUUGAACUAUUAUUAUUAUUAUUAGUACUCAACCGUUCAACGCAACUUCUGAGAUACCAGACAACCCACGCCAGGAGCUCCUUACUCGUUGAGUCAUCGCGGCGGCUUGAGGCUCCGCUGAGAUGACGCUGCACGCACCCGCCGCGUGAAUUGCGCCUCAGUGCCGCAGCGAGCCGGUGCCAGCCCAUCGCACACGUGGCCCGUGUAGUCAUCUGCUGGCCCAUAGACAGGUGGUAGGCAGGUGGUAGGCAGGGCUGCCACUUCUAAGGGUAUACAAUGAAAACCCAGCGGCAGUGACACACUCAUUCUUGGUUGCUGGGUUAGAUCACGUGGGCACAAUGCUAAUGUGUGUCGUACUCCCUCCUUCAUACAACACAGCCGAAAAAAAUGUACUCAACUUUUUUAAAGUAAAUAUUUGUAGUUUACCAGGUAAGGCCCACUGAGCUAUAUAACAAUUUUCUAGAAGCGACCUCGCCACAAAUGAUUGCUCAACGAAGUGGCUUAUCGUCGUGUGGAAAUAUAUAGCGGCCAAGCACGCUAAACAAAUAUUAUUAUUUCUAAAUGUGGAAGGAAAAACCUGAGGGCCCGGAGAAAAAUCCAUGAGAUUACUGGGAGAACAUGCAAACUCCAAAAAUACAGGCGUCACAGUCGGGAUCGAACCCACACCUCCUGUAUACCAGGCGAGGUAGUUAACAUCUCACCAUCUUGGCGCCGAUUUACUGUUUGCGACGGCACACCACCGGUAUAAUGAUAAUAAAUCCACACACGUGGCCCCGCUGUUUCGACUUAACGGGCGCCAUGGAAAAUACUGUGGAUGUAAUAAUCAUUAAAUAUGUUCCACCGUCCGCUCCUAGUGGAUAUUCAACGUUUCCGUUUGGAUUGUUCGAAAAGUGUAGAGGUCGUGCGUUGUUGGCGUCAUGAUACAAAUUGGCCAAGUUUAAAACAAUGACUUCAUUGGGAAACAAAUAGCAAUCGUCGCCCGCUACUGGGACAACCUGACCAGGACCCUUAUGACAACAAACGCUCCUGGACAAACAAAUCAUGAAAAGAAGAGGAAUAUCUCACAAUACAAAAAAACGGGAGAAUUGAAUGUUCAUGCAUGAUCUCGAGUGGUGCCCUAUGGCGCCUGAUGAUGGAACGGACAACAACCUGGACUUUUAACGUGCUGGGAAGCCUCGCUGAUUGCCCAGAACAGCGAGCUCAACAAGACGACGACCCUGGGAAAACCGGGACAGGUGGCAACCCUAUAUAUGAGAAAUACAUAAAUAAAAUACAUCGUAAGCAUGCCCAUCCAGAGCUGUCGAUCCCAGAUCUGGCCUCACCCCGUGUGUGAAGUACCGACCUGACCAACGCGUGUCUCUGUCUGUGAGCACGCGAACUUCUUCAGCACCGAUUGACUGGAUCGGUUGAUGUCAUGCGAAUGGACUAGAGGGCCAGGUGCAUGACCUCAGCUGUCCACCUCACGAUGGCUGGGGGCACUUCAUGCAGAACGCUGCGUGCAGCCGUGAGCGCUGCUACUGCUUACGUGUUGGCAGGCACAUUCAGUUUCAUUUAUUAGAAAUAGCCCUGUGAGCCAUGCGGCUCUUGCCUCGGGUGCAACCGCAACAACCAAAAACAUGAACAAAGAACAUCAGAGACCCCCCGUGGUCAGGUUUGACAGCGACUGCCGGAGCAAUUUCUGCCGGUUUAGCGCCGACAAUCGUCGAGACGGCGCUGCAUUCGAUCCGCGUUGUAUACAUUUGGAUUGCAUUGUACAGCCUCGGAGCCCGAGUACGCAGACUGUAGUAGUAAUAGUAGCAGUGCCGUGCUUAGCGCUAAAUAGAGCCACGCGUGGCAUCCGGGCAACGGUAAAUUCGUCCCACUUGCGGCUGACCUCACGUUGAGGUCACACGUUGGCGAGUUUCACUGGGGGUCCGUGUCUCUGCGAGCAAUUCGAGGUCACCGCUCGGGGUCAGCCGGGCCCUUUGUUGUGAAAGUGAUUCGUGACCUCUUGCUCCCGUGCCCCCCCCCACCCCCCGCCACAUGCCUCGUGAGCUAGUGGAGGGUCUUGCGAUGAGCGUUAUGUUCACAAAAGGCGAUUUUUGGCGCUACAGUUGAAGCAACAACAAUAACAACAAACCCAAUUCCUUUGUAUACAUGUAUAAAAAAAUAUAUCACCGCGCGUGCGAUCACAGCUUGCGAGUGGAUUUCAAUGGCUUUCUCGCCAGGCGUUAAAAGGAGGGAAUUACAUUUGAGGCGACCUCAACUUUCUUGCAAACUGUGUGCAGAUCGAGUGCACGGACGCACGCAUGCAUUUGGUAAAACGUCUGGUUGCCUUGCGAUGUUAGACGUCGUUUAGGGAAUUCGUCAUUGGCAAACGUGGUGUUUGCUACAAACAAAUGUGGCGAUUGGUGUGGAUCGUCUGAGUUGGGAAUUGUGUGUCUUAGCCAAUGAAAACGGCAUCUGUUGAAGACCGUGUGUUGAUGGGAAGUCACGUGACCUCUUACGGUGAUUUAAUCGAAAGUGGCCAUCCCAGUUUCCCACUCGGGCAGGAGUCGGCAAACAAGAACAAGAAGAGACAUUUUUUUCGAAUUCGGAAAAAAAAAAGACUCAAUAUUUCAAAAGCCGCAAUGCACUCUGUGGUUAAUAUGAGAUCGUGAGUCAUUCAUAAAUAACGCCACGAAGCAGUCCUUAAAGAGCCGCAUGCCACUCCGGGGCCGCCGACUCCUGCACUAGGUUGAAGGGGCAGUGAAAUGUACCCCGCUGCGUGCCACGAGUUAGUUUUUUUUUGUUAUUUUUGUUUUUGCAAUACAGAAAUUGUCGUGCCCUUCACUCUGCGGGUAAACAAGAAGCGGGCCGUGGAAGGUGUGGUGAGGAGGGGGGGGGGAGGGAGGUUCCGCGCGAUGAGCGCAGAGCCCCCGACGAUUCCCCGCCAGGCAGCCGCUCAGAUAAAUAUCGAUCGCCGCGUGCCGCGCGCCGAAUUCUGCUGCUUUUAAACAAUGCGGCGAGGCACCGAGUGUGUCGUGUGCGUGAAUGAUGUCCGCUCGAGGGUUUAGAGCUUUAGACCCUUUACAAAAGCCUUCACGCCGCGUUUCUGAGGCUCCUGUUCGCUGCCAAAACGCCCAGUGCGGUGGGGUUUCUCCAUCCCCCAAGCUACGCGCGCUCAACUUGAGCUGGCAAUGAAGCGGAUUCUUAACCCCCUCUGCGCCCCCCUCCCCUUUCCCCCCUCCCCCCACCCCCCUCCCCUCUCCCCCCGCCGCCCGCUACUUUCAGCGUCUGCCAAAUUUGUCUUCUCUCCUGCGUCUGGACAGGACGGUGGCUUUGAGUGCGCGGCGCGUAACGAUGCAUCGAUUCGUGGAGUCAAGUGAUUGUUUUGUUUGUGCUCACGAUGCGGGCAUGGAAUGACGCGAGUGUGAGAAUCGAUGAUUGACGACAUGCAGGCCACAGGAGGCGAACGCAGCUCUAAAAACGGAGACAAAAUGAGACAUUCUACAGACUACGGAUACAAUAAUGACCGUAUCCCUGAAUGGAACUGCAUCACGUGACAAUUCGUCUCAAGUUGGUGUGUUGUGGGGUGGGUGGAUUGUCACAUGGCUGGCAACGAGUUCAGUCUGGAGAGGCUGUGUGUGUCACGCAUAUCACACGGCAUGAACUUCACACACUGCACUUGCGAUAGUGUGUUAUAUAUCAACAAAGUGUUUGAGUUGGAGUUAUCUGCUAUAAUAAAUCAGCAACCGCCCAAAGCGCCUGCCAUAGUCGUUCCUGUACAGUUGACCGCAUUACGAAGUCAACAAAUAUUUACACGGCCACCUUGACGAUUGCGCAUCGCUGUUUCCAGAAGGGACGCUAAGAAGUCAAAGUGAUUCUCCUGCGCGAGUGUGCAUUGCGGCGGUGAUCAUUACGCGUGGCGACCACUGAGCCAGUGGUGAAAAUGUCACAUUCCUGUGACGGAGAUGAGUCUCCCCAUAGGUUCAACCACUGCAGACCUCCUCACGAAGUGCUGAUCGGAGGGAUGAUGGACUGAGUCGAUGAUCCCCCAGCCUGCAUUUAAACUCGCAAACCUCCCGAUUGCGAGCCCCCCCCCCCCCCUCUGGCGCGACGUCACGUGACCGGUUUGAGUCGGUGAUAUGGUCAAUGACUGUGACGCAUCUGCGAUAUCAUUGUGCGUGCGCUGGACAUUGCGCCUAAUGUCUAUUAAAUGCACCCACAGCAGUGUGGAUGGUCGUGUGGAAGCAGCUUAAGAUAAAAGGGUAAAAAACCAAUUAUCAUAUUAUUUACUGCGAAAUGAGGUUCCAAUGGUGCAAAAAAUACACCUCAAUGUCCACCUCGUUAAUGUGCUCAUUGGCACGGCUAAGUAAAUCCAGCCUGUCCCCAAACGGGUGUCGAACCACCGCGGCGCGCCGCUAGCCGAGUUGCAACGGAGUUGAGUAGCAGACAGAAGCGGCAAUAUGCAGGUGUGCACAUUUCUCGUGUCAGGAUGCAAAAGAGUCCAAAACCACCGCGUGCGUGCCCCGAGAGGUCGACCGCAGGGCUCACGGGCGCGGUGAGUGGACGGGCGAGGAGAUCGCCGGCAAACUGGGAAGAGACCAGAGGCGGGUUGUGGAUGCCUCAGUCUCGAGAGAGUGGGGCGGGUAGGCAGGCGGGUAGGGGGUGGGAGAUACGCCUUGCCCUCUGGGUCUGAUGGGAUCGGCGGUCCCGAUGCUCGGCUCGCAGCAGCCAUUCGUCGGCUCCGUUUAUUUUGUCACGCGGCGGCGGCGGCGGCGGCGGCGGUGGAGGUGGAGGGGGCGGGCAAAGCGGAACGCGUUGCGCGUGGGGAUCGCUGUGUGUGGUUAAGGCGACGCAUUAAACGCUGCUGCUGCUGCUGCUGUGGAUGCUGGUGGGGGGGCGUGCGCACGGAUGUUGAUCGCGUGGUUUGCAAUGCCUCCUGGACAACAACUACCCCCAGCCUUUCGGUGGUGAUAUUCCGUAUAUAUAUAAAUGUAUUAACUUGCCUGUCGACCUUUUUUCUGUCUUUCCCUCUUGCCGCGUGUCGGUAUGUGCAGCCGUGUAUGUCCGUCCGUUGAAUAAAGUGUGCGUGAAAACUGGGCGCUUGCUCGUCUACCACCCCCCACCCCCCACCCACCUCCUCUGAGUCUGUAUCGCUGUUUCACGUCUGCCUCCGCCAGCCGCCUCGCCAGGCGGUUCUCCAAGUGUCCUGGUUACUUCAAUGGAAUCCGUCAAAUGGACGAGAAAAAAAUUAACCCGUAAAAAAACAAAGUUUUUCACUAUAAAUCCUUUAUAUGCGUGGCGACUAGAGUCCUCUCGUCCUCUGGCUUGAGAUGGCUGCCACCUAUGGGUCAGAUGAUUGUCUGCCAGCAUUAAGCAAUUGGUAAUUAAAUAUUUUUUUAAAAUUCCCGAAACAGUGUAAAAUUUUGGAAAAAAAAUUUCACGAAAAUUAAUUGUCACGCACAACGAGUCUGUGUGGAAAAUGUCAGCUCGAUUGGAUCACGGGAAGUGGGUUAAAAAACGACCGAAAGAUUUGCACGGUUCUAAGCAAGCAAGCAAGCACGCAAGCACGCAAGCAAGCAAGCGAACUUAAUAUAAAGGAUUUAAAAAAUGCCCGUCGUCAUCGUGAGAGCUACUAAGCAGAACAGCCGUAGGGUUCGUUUCAACGCUCAGACAAUUUGCGUGCGAAGCACAACGCCACGUGCGCCUUGUGCAGCAUCCACGUGACGCGCUUCGCGGUCAGCCCCGUCGUAGGCCGCCGACAAACAGAGAUUGGGACGACUGCCGCGAUGUUUUUUUCCUGUCGCCAGUCACUCGCAUUCGAUCAAAUGUAUUGCGAUCGUGACCUCGGAUAAAGAGCUACUCACGAUGGCUCAUUUUAGCGUAACGCGCAAUGUCUGCGUGACGUUGACACGUCACCACGUUGGCGCGUGUCCGAGUCCUGCCCCAUUUCGAUAUUGGCGAAUUUGUUAAUUUGCCUACAUAGCGAGACACGAUUUUGCCGGCACGUGGUAGCUCGGUGGAAGUGAACGGCGGCGCGGGAUGUGCGUCGAAACCUGCAGCACCGACCCUGGGGAAAGUAGAGGCAGUGAUCGAGUCAAAGGGCACAGCGGCGUCCUGCACAGACAGGUGGUGUGUGGCAGGUGAUGUGAGACGGGCGUUAGAAAUUCCACGUUAACAUGGUGGGGGGGGGGCAGCCUCUCUGUAGCACGACCACUUUUUUGACGGGGCGAUGUUUAUACACCGCACUCGGUGCUCAUUUAAGGCUGAGUCGACCUAGGGGAGACCCACGACCGGUUUAGAUCAUCUUCGUUGGUGUUGGUGGCCGUGAGUGGGAAUCGAUCGCGAGUCGCCGGGUUCGUAGCCCAGCGCGCUCACCGCUAUGCAAACGUCUCCGCACUAAGACAAAGACUAGCCCCCCCCGCCCCCCCAUAGACUUAACAGACCCGUUGAGUCUGUCAAGGCGAUGUUAGCGAGCAGCACUUAUGAAAGACCGGCACGGCACACGAGGGGUGGGUUGGCCAGCACGGGACACGACACACACGCUCGCCGUCCGAGCUCCUCCAUGUGGUGCGUAAAAGCGACACGUGUCUGAAACGAUGGCUGCGUUGGGGCGCAUUGAUUGGGAUAAGGAGAUGGGCGAGUUUGCAGGACGGGCGAGACGCAGCUUGCGAAUGGGGGGAGGCGGCAGAGUUAAAGGCGGUCUCGCCAUCGUCCCCCGUCUACCGCCGAGACCGGGAGAGGCGCUUUCCCGUUCGUCAUUCCGGGCACGCGGAGCCCAUUCGCAAACGCCACGAAGUCACUGCCCUCCCCUGGAUGGCGCGCGACCGCAAGUUGCGGUGGUCAAAAUGAAUAAGCGAGGGAAACUACUAUUCACCACUACUCACCACUACACUCACCACUACACUCACCACUACACUCACCACUACACUCACCUCUACACUCACCACUACACUCACCUCUACACUCACCACUACACUCACCACUACACUCACCUCUACACUCACCACUACACUCAUCGUUACACUCACUGCUACACUCACCACUACACUCACCACUACCACUACACCCACCACUACACUCACCACUACACUCACCACUACACUCACCACUACACUCACCACUACACUCACCACUACACUCACCACUACACUCACCACUACACUCACCACUACACUCACCACUACACUCACCACUACACUCACCACUACCACUCACCACUACUCACCACUACACUCACUACUACUCACCACUACACUCACCACUACUCACCACUACACUCACCACUAAACUCACUACACUCACUACUACACUCACCACUACUCACCACUACACUCACCACUACUCACCACUACACUCACCACUACACUCACCACUACACUCACCACUACACUCACCACUACUCACCACUACUCACCACUACACUCACCACUACACUUACCACUACUCACCAUUACACUCACAACUACACUCACAACUAAUCACCACUACACUCACCACUACUCACUACUACUUACCAAUACACUCACCACUACUCACCACUACUCACCACUAUACUCACCGUUACACUCAUCGUUACACUCACCACUACACUCACCACUACACUCACGUUACAGUCAUCGUUACACUCACCACCACUCACCACUACACUCACCACUACAGUCACCGUUACACUCAUCGUUACACUCACCGCUACACUCACCACUACACUCACCGUUACCACUACAUCCACCACUACACUCACCACUACCACUCACCACUACACUCACCGCUGCACCCAUCACUGCACACAUGCCUCAUUGAUUUACUCAUGACCCGUAUUCUUUCAGUUACUCAUUCCUCCCGUUCAUUCAUUCAACCUUUCUCUCUUAUUAUUGUCGCAUUUACUCACUCAUUUCCUCACGUGCACACGCUGUAUUCUGGCGAAUAGCGAAACAUUUCAUUUUACAAUGCACAUAAGCGCUUCAAGGUCCAGUUGUAGAAUUUCUCAGUACAUAUGAACAGAAUUGUAUACUUUUUGUUUAGUUCUGAGGCAUUUCUCUCAUUCAAUCAUUCAUGCCUCUAAUUUGUUCUCAUUCUUACCUCAAUCCUCUCUUUCUUCAUAUUUGAUUUUUUACCUCUUUCAAUCAAAGAUUUCGCCCAGCACCUCCCAUGAGCCUCCUCUAAACUUCCUGCAGGCCCAU